Molecule: long non-coding RNA, 328 nt
Organism: Solea senegalensis (Senegalese sole)
Lineage: Eukaryota; Metazoa; Chordata; Actinopteri; Pleuronectiformes; Soleidae
Exons: 3
Source: RefSeq, a predicted model, not a curated record
CGACCUGACGAGCACAACAACUCGGGUUCAGAAGCGUUCCAAAAAGCCACGAAUGAAAACGUGGCGCCUGCUCCGUACCACCACCUCUCAUGGCAGGGAGGGGAAAAGUCGUCAGCUACCUGCCAACUCAUGCUCCUGAACAAUGACUCGCCUGUGAGAGGACGAAAUAAAUUGAAACGAUGAAGUCAGUGUGGCAGCUGCGGCGGCUGUGUGCACUGUAGCAUGUGAGCCAAACAUGAGUCCCAACUGCGAUGCUUGGUGGAGUGGACGCGCUGCCAGGGAGAGCUCUGUGCUCGCCUCACACUGUGCUGCUGGACUGCAAUCCUCA